Long non-coding RNA from Heterocephalus glaber (naked mole-rat), 495 nucleotides. NCBI's taxonomy places the organism in Eukaryota, Metazoa, Chordata, Mammalia, Rodentia, Bathyergidae. The record is from Ensembl.
AUAAAACUUUCUUUUGACCUCUAUGCUCUAUGCAGAGACAUCACAUCUGUUUUGGGGCCGGUAAAGUUGUGGAUAAUAGAAUGAAAAUGAGAAGAAAGCAAAAAUGCUUCCUUAGGAACAUGCUGAAGUAGUGAUUCCAAGAUGAAGAGCGCAGAUGUGGAGCUGGUUUCCUGCCUCCCUGGCUAUGCCUGGCUUCUAUACCCAGGGUUGCCCUACCAAUCAAGACAUGGCUGGAAAAAGUAAAUUCAUGGAAACAUCUAGAUUAUUAUGGUAUUCAAACAAUGCUAUCUUAAGACCCCUAUAAAAGCUCAAGUGGACUUUCGUUUUUUAAACAUACAUUUCACUUAGGAGCAAGAAAAAGAUAAGGUGAAGAGUUAGGUAUAGAUAAAAGAAAAUGUUAUGGUGGCCUCAUUCUAUAUUUUAGUUUUUAGAGCAGUUUUAGGUUCACUGUAAGUUGAGAGAAGCCCACAGAGUUCCCAUCAGCCCUCUGUCCCA